RNAcentral lists this ribosomal RNA (549 nucleotides) under Filobasidium oeirense. RNAcentral describes it as "eukaryotic LSU rRNA". It matches the Rfam family "Eukaryotic large subunit ribosomal RNA", at positions 121 to 656 of the family's 3401-position model. Lineage: Eukaryota; Fungi; Basidiomycota; Tremellomycetes; Filobasidiales; Filobasidiaceae. The record is from RNAcentral.
UCUGGUGGCCUCAGGUCAUCCGAGUUGUAAUCUAUAGAAGUGUUUUCCGUGCUGGCUCAUGUACAAGUCCCUUGGAACAGGGCGUCAUAGAGGGUGAGAAUCCCGUCCUUGACAUGAACUACCAGUGCUCUGUGAUACAUUUUCAACGAGUCGAGUUGUUUGGGAAUGCAGCUCAAAAUGGGUGGUAAAUUCCAUCUAAAGCUAAAUAUUGGCGAGAGACCGAUAGCGAACAAGUACCGUGAGGGAAAGAUGAAAAGCACUUUGGAAAGAGAGUUAAACAGUAUGUGAAAUUGUUGAAAGGGAAACGAUUGAAGUCAGUCGUGCUCUUUGGAUUCAGCCGGUUCUGCCGGUGUACUUCCUUUGAGUGGGGUCAACAUCAGUUUUGAUCGCUGGAUAAAGGCAGGAGGAACGUAGUACCCUCGGGUAAACUUAUAGCCUCUUGUCACAUACAGUGGUUGGGACUGAGGAACGCAGCACGCCUUUAUGGCCGGGAUUCGUCCACGUACGUGCUUAGGAUGUUGACAUAAUGGMUUUAAACGACCCGUCUUG